Molecule: non-coding RNA, 111 nt
Filed under: Dorea sp. CAG:317
Lineage: Bacteria; Bacillati; Bacillota; Clostridia; Lachnospirales; Lachnospiraceae
Also listed under: 2 other names
Description: TPP riboswitch aptamer (THI element)
Rfam family: TPP riboswitch aptamer (THI element)
About the family: Vitamin B(1) in its active form thiamin pyrophosphate (TPP) is an essential coenzyme that is synthesised by coupling of pyrimidine and thiazole moieties in bacteria. The previously detected thiamin-regulatory element, thi box was extended, resulting in a new, highly conserved RNA secondary structure, the THI element, which is widely distributed in eubacteria and also occurs in some archaea. Analysis of operon structures identified a large number of new candidate thiamin-regulated genes, mostly transporters, in various prokaryotic organisms.
Source: Rfam by way of RNAcentral
GAUUGAUGACAAGGGAGCUUGCACGGAAGCGGGCUGAGAGUGGGCUGACACCGCCCAGACCUAUAACCUGAUUUGGAUAAUGCCAACGUAGGGAUGCGUUUAUAAGGGAUU